UAGGGAAUUUUCCACAAUGGGCGAAAGCCUGAUGGAGCAACGCCGCGUGCAGGACGAAGGCCUUCGGGUUGUAAACUGCUUUUAUCUGUGAAGAUUAUGACAGUAACAGAAGAAUAAGGGUCUGCUAACUACGUGCAAGCAGCCGCGGUCAUACGUAGGACCCAAGCGUUAUCCGGAAUUACUGGGCGUAAAGAGUUGCGUAGGUGGCAAAGUAAGUGAAUAGUGAAAGCGUGUGGCUCAACCAUACAUACAUUGUUUAAACUACUUAGCUAGAGCACAAGAGAGGUAACUGGAAUUUCUAGUGUAGGAGUGAAAUCCGUAGAUAUUAGAAGGAACACCGAUGGCGUAAGCAGGUUACUGGCUUGUUGCUGACACUCAGGCACGAAAGCGUGGGGAGCGAACGGG
Molecule: ribosomal RNA, 405 nt
Filed under: uncultured bacterium
Lineage: Bacteria
Description: bacterial SSU rRNA
Rfam family: Bacterial small subunit ribosomal RNA
Source: RNAcentral